UUGGAUCCUUUUCCUCAUUCGAGAAUCUCCUCCCUUCUUCCACUUCGUUCCGAAGAGUAACUUGGACCAAUUCAGUCACGUUUUCAUGUUCUAAUUGAAAACCUUCCAUUUUUGAUUAUACAAUGC
Long non-coding RNA from Telopea speciosissima, 126 nucleotides. RefSeq lists it as uncharacterized. Lineage: Eukaryota; Viridiplantae; Streptophyta; Magnoliopsida; Proteales; Proteaceae. The transcript is spliced from 5 exons. The record is from RefSeq and is a predicted model, not a curated record.